RNAcentral lists this ribosomal RNA (255 nucleotides) under uncultured bacterium. Its description in RNAcentral is "partial 16S ribosomal RNA". It matches the Rfam family "Bacterial small subunit ribosomal RNA", at positions 524 to 777 of the family's 1533-position model. The record is from RNAcentral.
UACGAAGGGGGCUAGCGUUGCUCGGAAUUACUGGGCGUAAAGGGAGCGUAGGCGGAUAGUUUAGUCAGAGGUGAAAUCCCGGGGCUCAACCUCGGAACUGCCUUUGAUACUGGCUAUCUUGAGUAUGGGAGAGGUGUGUGGAACUCCGAGUGUAGAGGUGAAAUUCGUAGAUAUUCGGAAGAACACCAGUGGCGAAGGCGACACACUGGCCCAUUACUGACGCUGAGGCUCGGAAAGCGUGGGGAGCAAACAGGG